Homo sapiens (human) is the source of this 487-nucleotide long non-coding RNA. The record is from Ensembl. NCBI's taxonomy places the organism in Eukaryota, Metazoa, Chordata, Mammalia, Primates, Hominidae.
AGGGUCUGCACCUGGAGACUCCCACCUAAGAUGGGGGUUUAGAUGAGACCACUCUGGGAGGACACGCAGCCGAGUGUGGAGGCCCCGAGGAAGAUCAGCUCUGAAGACACAGGCAGGCAAAGGGCAGACCUCGAAGGAGAUGGAGGAGGAAUGACAGAGGGCAAGAAGAAUCAGGUUUACUGUCUGCCAGGCUGCCAAACCCCAACCCUCGCCACAUCCGCAGCCACCACGUAAAGUGACUGUUAGAACUUCAAACGAAGGAUCUGACCCCCGGAAAUGGCCUCAUGCUAGUUUUUUCCUAAACAGUCACCAGGAAAAUGACGGAAGGCAAAUCGAAACGCAUGCCCUGAAAGACUUAGAACAUAACCAUCACAUCUGGGGGACAAGAAGCCCACCCCAACUUAAUUUAAAAAGGAAACACAGCAGAUGUCAUCAGUUGGCAGGGAGGUGUCUUGAAGGAAAGAAGGAGGGGAAUGAGAGGGCUGUG